GCCGGGCAUGAUGGCGCAUGCCUGUAAUCCCAGCUACUAGGGAGGCUGAGGCAGGAGAAUUGCUUGAACCCAGGAGGCGGAGGUUGCAGUGAGCCAAGGUUGCACCACUGCACUCCAGCCUGGGCCACACAGCGAGAUUCUGUCUCAA
This is an unclassified non-coding RNA of Macaca fascicularis (crab-eating macaque), 148 nucleotides long. It matches the Rfam family "Metazoan signal recognition particle RNA". Rfam says of the family: The signal recognition particle (SRP) is a universally conserved ribonucleoprotein. NCBI's taxonomy places the organism in Eukaryota, Metazoa, Chordata, Mammalia, Primates, Cercopithecidae. The record is from Ensembl.